This 464-nucleotide ribosomal RNA is filed under the name uncultured bacterium. RNAcentral describes it as "partial 16S ribosomal RNA". It matches the Rfam family "Bacterial small subunit ribosomal RNA", at positions 339 to 795 of the family's 1533-position model. The record is from RNAcentral.
CUACGGGGUGCUCCAGUGGGGAAUAUUGGACAAUGGGGGAAACCCUGAUCCAGCAAUGCCGCGUGUGUGAAGAAGGCCUGCGGGUUGUAAAGCACUUUCGGUUGGGAGGACUGCUUCUAGCACUAAUAUUGUUGGAAGUUGACGUUACCUUCAGAAGAAGCACCGGCUAACUCCGUGCCAGCAGCCGCGGUAAUACGGAGGGUGCAUCGUUAAUCGGAAUUACUGGGCGUAAAGCGCGCGUAGGCGGCUAGAUCAGUCGGGUGUGAAAGCCCCGGGCUUAACCGGGGAACUGCAUCCGAUACUGUCUUGCUUGAGUACAGGAGAGGAGAGUGGAAUUCCACAUGUAGCGGUGAAAUGCGUAGAUAUGUGGAGGAACACCAAUGGCGAAGGCAGAUCUCUGGCCUGAUACUGACGCUGAGGUGCGAAAGCGUGGGGAGCAAACAGGAUUAGAUACCCUAGUAGUC